Molecule: ribosomal RNA, 274 nt
Filed under: uncultured bacterium
Lineage: Bacteria
Description: partial 16S ribosomal RNA
Rfam family: Bacterial small subunit ribosomal RNA
Source: RNAcentral
AUACGGAGGGGGCUAGCGUUGUUCGGAAUUACUGGGCGUAAAGCGCGCGUAGGCGGAUUGAUCAGUCAGGGGUGAAAUCCCGAGGCUUAACCUCGGAACUGCCUUUGAUACUGUCAAUCUUGAGUUCGAGAGAGGUGAGUGGAAUUCCUAGUGUAGAGGUGAAAUUCGUAGAUAUUAGGAAGAACACCAGUGGCGAAGGCGGCUCACUGGCUCGAUACUGACGCUGAGGUGCGAAAGCGUGGGGAGCAAACAGGAUUAGAAACCCCAGUAGUCC